AAAAAGGUAAGCUAAUUAAGCUAAUGGGCUCAUAUCCCAUUUAUAAAGGUUACAAUCCUUUCCUCUUUA
This 69-nucleotide transfer RNA is filed under the name Oecanthus rufescens. RNAcentral describes it as "tRNA-Met". It matches the Rfam family "tRNA". Rfam says of the family: Transfer RNA (tRNA) molecules are approximately 80 nucleotides in length. Their secondary structure includes four short double-helical elements and three loops (D, anti-codon, and T loops). Lineage: Eukaryota; Metazoa; Arthropoda; Insecta; Orthoptera; Gryllidae. The record is from RNAcentral. RNAcentral also lists the same sequence under 1 other name.